RNAcentral lists this ribosomal RNA (1261 nucleotides) under Craterellus lutescens. RNAcentral describes it as "bacterial SSU rRNA". It matches the Rfam family "Bacterial small subunit ribosomal RNA", at positions 16 to 1265 of the family's 1533-position model. Lineage: Eukaryota; Fungi; Basidiomycota; Agaricomycetes; Cantharellales; Hydnaceae. The record is from RNAcentral.
AUUUUGGUUCCGAUUGAACGUUAUUCAGUAGUCUAAGGCAUGCAAAUCAUUUUAAUAAACUAUGCUAUGGAAACCUCAUCUUAAUUCUAUUGGCACUAGAAUAAGGUGAAUUCUAAAUUUACAGGUCAAAUAGAAUAUUUAAGUUAAAAGGUGUAGAGGUGAGUAAUAUUAAAUUAGAUACCCUUUAGUAUCCGUAAAUAGAAUAUAACCAAAGAGAUAAUUCUCGCUAUGGGAUUUUAAUUUAACUUGACUAGGUAGUUGGUGGGGUUAAAGGCCUACCAAGCCGACGAUCAAUAGCCAUUCUUGUAAGAGACAAUGGCCACAUUGGGUUUGAAAUCGACCCUAGUAGUUUUAAACUACCAGCAGCCGAGAAUAUUUGUCAAUGCUCGCAAGAGUGAACGAGCUAACUGAAAGAUUACACAAUCUAAGGAUAGAAAACUUACAAAUACAUUAUUUAUAAGUUUAAAUACGAAUCUGACUAAUAGUGUCGUCUAAAUUCUGGUGCCAGAAGACUCGGUAAUACCAGAGACGCGAACGUUAAUCAUCAUGAAUGGGCAUAAAGGGUUUGUAGGUGGCUUAUUUAUUAAUAGGCUAGAAUCUUAUAGAGGUUAAUAAAAUACUUAGAGGAGGGCUGAUAUCCUUAGAUCCUGAGUGGAAUCCUAAUUGCGAAGGCCAUUAACCAAUAAAGAUUGACGCUGAGACACGAAAGUUAGGACAGGAACUAGGAUUAGAGACCCUAUUACCCCUAACUGUAAACGAUGAAUGGAAGAUAUUUACUAUAACAGUAAGUGUCGAAGUGAAUACGAUAACCAUUCCGCCUUGCCAGUAUACUUGCAAAAGUGAAAACAAAAAAAUUAGUCGGUCCUAAAGCAAACGAAGUGAAGCAUGUUAUUUAAUUCGAUAACCCGCGUAUAAUCUUACCACUUCUUGAAUAUUAACCUUAAUACUAAGGUCCGAAUCCUCGGGUUUGGAAUAAAUAACUUAUAUUAUAAGUUUUUAUUAUAAUACAGGUGUUGCAUGGCUGUCGUCAGUUCGUGUCAUGAGAUGUGAGGUUAAUUCCACUAACGAACGCAAUCCCUACUAUUAAUUUAUGUUUAAUAGUGAUUUUUUAAUAUAAAGAAUCUUUUUGGGGCUAAGACAAGUCCUUAUGACCCGAAUGAAGUGGGCUAUAGACGUGCUGCAAAAGCUCAGAACAAAGUGAUGCAAUACUAACCCUUUCCUUUAUUUUUAAGGUAUUUUAUAUAUCUUAAAUAUCUUAAGG